This 24-nucleotide non-coding RNA is filed under the name Drosophila melanogaster (fruit fly). The record is from RNAcentral. Lineage: Eukaryota; Metazoa; Arthropoda; Insecta; Diptera; Drosophilidae. RNAcentral also lists the same sequence under 3 other names.
GUUAGCACUCUGGACUUUGAAUCC